Molecule: ribosomal RNA, 1349 nt
Filed under: Arthrobacter globiformis
Lineage: Bacteria; Bacillati; Actinomycetota; Actinomycetes; Micrococcales; Micrococcaceae
Description: bacterial SSU rRNA
Rfam family: Bacterial small subunit ribosomal RNA
Source: RNAcentral
GGNCGUNGGGGCGUGCUUACACAUGCAGUCGAACGAUGACCCGGUGCUUGCACUGGUGAUUAGUGGCGAACGGGUGAGUAACACGUGAGUAACCUGCCCUUGACUCUGGGAUAAGCCUGGGAAACUGGGUCUAAUACCGGAUAUGACCUUCCAUCGCAUGGUGGUUGGUGGAAAGCUUUUGUGGUUUUGGAUGGACUCGCGGCCUAUCAGCUUGUUGGUGAGGUAAUGGCUUACCAAGGCGACGACGGGUAGCCGGCCUGAGAGGGUGACCGGCCACACUGGGACUGAGACACGGCCCAGACUCCUACGGGAGGCAGCAGUGGGGAAUAUUGCACAAUGGGCGGAAGCCUGAUGCAGCGACGCCGCGUGAGGGAUGACGGCCUUCGGGUUGUAAACCUCUUUCAGUAGGGAAGAAGCGAAAGUGACGGUACCUGCAGAAGAAGCGCCGGCUAACUACGUGCCAGCAGCCGCGGUAAUACGUAGGGCGCAAGCGUUAUCCGGAAUUAUUGGGCGUAAAGAGCUCGUAGGCGGUUUGUCGCGUCUGCCGUGAAAGUCCGGGGCUCAACUCCGGAUCUGCGGUGGGUACGGGCAGACUAGAGUGAUGUAGGGGAGACUGGAAUUCCUGGUGUAGCGGUGAAAUGCGCAGAUAUCAGGAGGAACACCGAUGGCGAAGGCAGGUCUCUGGGCAUUAACUGACGCUGAGGAGCGAAAGCAUGGGGAGCGAACAGGAUUAGAUACCCUGGUAGUCCAUGCCGUAAACGUUGGGCACUAGGUGUGGGGGACAUUCCACGUUUUCCGCGCCGUAGCUAACGCAUUAAGUGCCCCGCCUGGGGAGUACGGCCGCAAGGCUAAAACUCAAAGGAAUUGACGGGGGCCCGCACAAGCGGCGGAGCAUGCGGAUUAAUUCGAUGCAACGCGAAGAACCUUACCAAGGCUUGACAUGGACCGGACCGCCGCAGAAAUGUGGUUUCCCCUUUGGGGCUGGUUUACAGGUGGUGCAUGGUUGUCGUCAGCUCGUGUCGUGAGAUGUUGGGUUAAGUCCCGCAACGAGCGCAACCCUCGUUCUAUGUUGCCAGCACGUGAUGGUGGGGACUCAUAGGAGACUGCCGGGGUCAACUCGGAGGAAGGUGGGGACGACGUCAAAUCAUCAUGCCCCUUAUGUCUUGGGCUUCACGCAUGCUACAAUGGCCGGUACAAAGGGUUGCGAUACUGUGAGGUGGAGCUAAUCCCAAAAAGCCGGUCUCAGUUCGGAUUGGGGUCUGCAACUCGACCCCAUGAAGUCGGAGUCGCUAGUAAUCGCAGAUCAGCAACGCUGCGGUGAAUACGUUCCCGGGUCUUUAACACACCGA